CAUUAAGAAGCUAUGUAUCAGCACUAGCCUUUUAAGCUAGAGAAAGAGGACCAACUAUCCCUCCUUAAUGA
This 71-nucleotide transfer RNA is filed under the name Tringa totanus. Its description in RNAcentral is "tRNA-Lys". It matches the Rfam family "tRNA". From Rfam's summary of the family: Transfer RNA (tRNA) molecules are approximately 80 nucleotides in length. Their secondary structure includes four short double-helical elements and three loops (D, anti-codon, and T loops). Lineage: Eukaryota; Metazoa; Chordata; Aves; Charadriiformes; Scolopacidae. The record is from RNAcentral.